This 76-nucleotide transfer RNA is filed under the name Clostridiales bacterium. Its description in RNAcentral is "tRNA-Thr". It matches the Rfam family "tRNA". From Rfam's summary of the family: Transfer RNA (tRNA) molecules are approximately 80 nucleotides in length. Their secondary structure includes four short double-helical elements and three loops (D, anti-codon, and T loops). Lineage: Bacteria; Bacillati; Bacillota; Clostridia; Eubacteriales. The record is from RNAcentral.
GCUGAUGUAGCUCAGUAGGUAGAGCGCAUCCUUGGUAAGGAUGAGGUCGACAGUUCGACUCUGUUCAUCAGCUCCA